UACUCCUGCUUUAUACUUAUAUUUCUAUGUGACCACUUUACACAGCAUCAGCCAGCAGCCGCUCUGCACAAUUAAUAUACUGCCUGCCAGGAUUUAUUUCCCUCCUGACUCCAUAUUGAACAUGUAUACCUCUAAUUGUAGCAACAAAUGAUUGAUUAGCACUACGUGCUUUCUGUCCUCGAUCCGCCUGCUUACCUUUUGGGGCUGUAUAGUGCCUACCCUCUCUGUGGCCAGUGAGAUGAAUCACCAAGGAGAUUGAGAUCCUUUAUAUAUACAUUAACAUACGUCCCUGAGGAAGCCCGA
Molecule: long non-coding RNA, 303 nt
Organism: Rana temporaria (common frog)
Lineage: Eukaryota; Metazoa; Chordata; Amphibia; Anura; Ranidae
Exons: 3
Source: RefSeq, a predicted model, not a curated record